GAUGAAGAACGCAGCGAAAUGCGAUACGCAAUGCGAAUUGCAGAACCGCGAGUCAUCAGAUCUUUGAACGCAAGUGGCGGUAGCUAUGGCUACCAUGUUUGCUUCAGUGU
RNAcentral lists this ribosomal RNA (110 nucleotides) under Vorticella sp. 13 PPS-2010. RNAcentral describes it as "5.8S ribosomal RNA". It matches the Rfam family "5.8S ribosomal RNA", at positions 35 to 152 of the family's 154-position model. From Rfam's summary of the family: 5.8S ribosomal RNA (5.8S rRNA) is a component of the large subunit of the eukaryotic ribosome. It is transcribed by RNA polymerase I as part of the 45S precursor that also contains 18S and 28S rRNA. RNAcentral also lists the same sequence under 2 other names. Lineage: Eukaryota; Ciliophora; Oligohymenophorea; Sessilida; Vorticellidae. The record is from RNAcentral.